AUUGAACGCUGGCGGCAGGCCUAACACAUGCAAGUCGAGCGGAGCGGCGGACGGGUGAGUAAUGCCUAGGAAUCUGCCUGGUAGUGGGGGAUAACGUCCGGAAACGGGCGCUAAUACCGCAUACUAUCAGAUGAGCCUAAGUCGGAUUAGCUAGUUGGUGGGUUAAAGGGCUAACAAGGCGACGCUCCGUAACUGGUCUGAGAGGAUGAUACGUCACACUGGAACUGCGACACGGUCAAGACUCGUACGGGAGGCAGAAGUGGGGAAUAUUGGACAAUGGGCGAAAGCCUGAUCCAGACAUGCCGCGUGUGUGAAGAAGGUCUUCGGAUUGUAAAGCACUUUAAGUUGGGAGGCGUUACCAACAGAGUAAGCACCGGCUAACUUCGUGCCAGCAGCCGCGGUAAUAC
Molecule: ribosomal RNA, 407 nt
Filed under: uncultured bacterium
Lineage: Bacteria
Description: partial 16S ribosomal RNA
Rfam family: Bacterial small subunit ribosomal RNA
Source: RNAcentral